Molecule: long non-coding RNA, 1620 nt
Organism: Tyto alba (common barn owl)
Lineage: Eukaryota; Metazoa; Chordata; Aves; Strigiformes; Tytonidae
Exons: 10
Source: RefSeq, a predicted model, not a curated record
GGGUUCUGGGAGGAAAGUGGAAAAAUUCCAUGCAUGAGCUAGAACAGCAACUCUGCGCUGGCAAGGAGUAUAAAGAAAAUACUCUGCAGGUACACCGAAGGACUGGAUGGAGGCUGUGCCUGGUGGAAAUGGACGUUCCCAGGGUGGAAAAGGGCUGUGAGCUUGCAGCUUCGGGCACCAGGAGGAAAGCUCUGGCUUCACCUGCAGAUUUGCAGCUCGGGAAUAGAGUCAGGCAAAGCCCAAGCCCUGCGGCAGCACUGGAGGGUCAGGGUCAGCGGGCAGACCAACACGGGCACCGCUGGAGGGAGCAAGGCAAAAAGCAAACACAGAAAGGUCGUGGCUUGGUUCAGAGUUGCAGAAAAAAAAAAAUGACCUCACUGGGACGUGUCCGGGCAGGGCAUUCACGGGCCGUAGGAGCUACAGCAAAUCAUUCAGGGAAACAAUAUUUCCAGUAUAAAUGAAGCAGCCCCAUUUUCUUGCCUUCGGUGUGGCUUCUCAGCAGCGGGGAUCACUGAGACACAGGCGGGCGUCCCGGCUGCGGCGUGCCGAAAGCGAGGCAUUUUCACACAAUGAACCAUAUGGGAGUCAGAGAAAAAGGUGUCGAUGUGCAGCGCAGCCUGGCCCAGUGGAUGCUGAUUGAUAAAGCUGGCAGAUGGGUAGAUCGUCAGCUUUGAAGACUGGAUUUUCUGCUGAAACUAUUAAAUAAGACAGACAGACAGAAGAACUAAAUGGCAAGGAGGGUGUGCAGUGCAGCUGCUUCCCCAAGUUGCAAGAAAUUGCUCAGUCUAAGGUUCAGAACGUGAUAUGCUAUUCCAUGUGAUGGCCACUGGUAGCGAGCUGUGUGGCAAGAUUUUGAUGCUUCAGCGCUGGAUGUUUGAUUUCCAUGCUCUGACUCUGAUUUUCCUGGAUUCUGGCUUGGAAAAUAUCUUUGCGUGGGAGUACCUGCUCAGAAGUUUUACCAGCAGGAGAUUUUCCAUUGACAUUCCGUGGAAGAGCUCAGGGUGGUCUGUGACUAAGCUGGAAAAGCUUGAAGGAUUAUUGGAUGGGCUCACAAAACUCGCACGAAAAUGUGGCUGAAGCUCAAGCAUCUGGUCUAGCCCUGCUGCUCUGCCAGAGCUGUGCUAAACUCAGGACUACUGAAGUUGUAAUGGGCCUCUAACCUGAGUUUUGCUUGCACGGUGUUUUCGGACCUUAUUCAACUAUGGCCAGAUUCUUCACCUUUACUUCCAGCAAGGCACGUGUCCCGUGGACCUCAUGGAGGAAACACUGUUCCACAAAGGGGACCUCAGCUGGGCAUGGUUUGGCCUUCAUCAUCUGGUGGUUUUAAUUAUGGAGAGGUAGGUGGGUUUCUACUUCGUCCCCUUAGAAGCACAACCCUGUGACCUAAAAGCACUCAGUACUUUUCAGGGCAAGACACUGAAAUCAAGAGGACUUUUUAAUGGGAUAGGCUUGGGGACUGACAUUCAUCACAGCCUUUUAAGGCUCAGUAGUUUAUGAGUCGAUGUAUGCAUAAUAUUUGCCAAACCAGAGGUCAAAGGAAAUAGUAAUAAUAGAGAAGGAGGAAAACAAAAUACUUUUAAGCACCCUUUUUCAAGGAGGAAUUCAUUGUGAUAGCUCAGA